Molecule: ribosomal RNA, 405 nt
Filed under: uncultured bacterium
Lineage: Bacteria
Description: partial 16S ribosomal RNA
Rfam family: Bacterial small subunit ribosomal RNA
Source: RNAcentral
GAUGAACGCUGGCGGCGUGCCUAAUACAUGCAAGUCGAGCGAAGCGGGCACGGGUGAGUAACACGUGGAUAACCUCCCCUAUCACUGGGAUAACUUCGGGAAACCGGAGCUAAACCGGAUAUUUAUACAUGGAUCCGGGCUGCAUUAGCUAGUUGGUAAGGUAACGGCUUACCAAGGCAACGAUGCAUAGCCGACCUGAGAGGGGGAUCGGCAACACGGGAACGGAGAAAGGGUCCAGACUCCUACGGGAGGCAGAAGUGGGGAAUCUUCCGCAAGGGGCGAAAGCCUGACGGGGCAACGCGGCGUAAGUGAGGAAGGUCUUCGGAUCGUAAAACUCUGUAAUUAGGGAAGCGGUACCUAAUCAGAAAGCCACGGCUAACUACGUGCCAGCAGCCGCGGUAAUAC